GUGCUGGGAUUACAGGCAUGAGCCACCAUGCCUGGCCGAGCCUCUGGUUUUUAGGAGAGAACAAAGAAUCCUGAUUUUAAUGUAAAAUCUCUAAAGUAAUAACUCAUUAAAAAUAUUGCAAUGUCCAAAAGUAUCUUUGCAUUUAAAUUCUAAAAAUCUCUUAAGUAUUUUUUUAAAUAAUUGAAAAGUUAGUUUUUGUUAAGCUAAUAGGAAUGGGCCAGUUAACUAGAGUAGAUGGAUGUAGGAAAUUAAAUAUUUGAUUUAUUUAGGGAUCUAUAUGAUAUCAGUUAUCAAACAAUACAUUUUAACACAGAAGUAUACUGUGCUCUUUGUAUCUUUGAUCAUUCUUCAAGUAUUUCUCAGUCUUUUAGUCUAUCAGGAACAUUAUCAUCAAGAGCAACUAUUGUAGCAUAAUACUCUGGGUACAUGAAAUGUAUACGGGAGAUAAAUAGACAAUAGAUGAAGGUUUAUUGUUAUAAAAAUGAUCUACCACUUAUAUAAAAACAUUCUGAAAAUGUUAACAUUUUUGGGACUAAAGUCUGCAAAAUAAAUAGCUUCUUAAAGCAAAUUCCUAUUAAAUUGCCUUCUUGUUACACCUGGAAAAUAUAUAAUUUUUCUCUUUAAUUACGUUAGUAGCCUGAAUUAAAGCAACUAGAUAGACACUUUAAUUUGAAGCUGUUGAGUUCCUUGAAUUGUCUUUUUCAUUGGUACAUUUUAUCCAUUGUCACAACUGUGGUCUUCAUUAAUAACUUGUUUUUAAUGUCUUAGCGGUAGAAUGUGUUUCCUUAUUUUUUUUCAAGUAAGAGUCAGUUAAUUCAAAAUGGCAAAUUCUUUAGCUGAAUGUGUGCCAUUGUUCAUUUGCAAAGUUUAAUUUCAGGCAGAUCCAAGAAUUGUGUAAAGGUUGCAUCUUUGUUCCUCUUGCACAUUUUUUUUUUCUGGUAAUCAAAUCUGAAGGGACACCUAAGCAAGCAGACUUGGCUUAUUUUCCAGUUGGAUGGGAAUGGAAAACAAUGCUUGAGACUGGAUUCAACUUGAAUGCUUCCUGAUUAAAUAUAUUCAAGAUGAUUUCAGAGGAAUUUAAGUUUUGGAUCAUUCUUUUGGGAAAGAAAGAAAAGCACCCUUUUAAAAGAGGCAAGGUAUGAAAUGGCAAUCAUCUUGUUUGAAAAAUAUUGUAAUUUGAAAAGACAUCUAAAGUGCUAAACAUAAUCUAGAAUUACAUAUACAGAUCAGCCUAAUAUUGAACUAAGUGAAGGUUUAUAAUAUUGUGACUUAUGACAGUUUCUUAAUUUAUAUCCUCAGAGCCUAUUAAGUGAUAUUAACAGUCUUAAAGCAUAUGUAUCUCCUACCUGGGCCCAGCUUCCUUCCUCAGAUUCUUUCUGUGUUAGCAGCAGGAAAUGAUUAAUAAAGCAGGUAAAUAUAAAUUAAUAUCAAAUCAAUACAGUAAAACUUUUCUAGCAGAAGCAAAAUUGUUAUACAAAAUAAUUUGUAUCACAGGCAGAUAAACACAUAGAUUCUUACUCAGACCCACAGUGAUCAAUUUUACAGUUCAAAGGCAAUUACACAGUAACUACAUAGUUUUUAAUUAAUUCUAAUUUAAAUGUUAAAUGCAUAAUUUUGUGAACAUUUGAUUUGGUCAUUCCAAACCUUUUUUUAAUUCUUAAAUGAGUGUAAUUUUCAAAAUGUAAUGUGCCAUAAUAAAAAUUUCUGAUGUCAUAUAUGCGUAUGUAUAUAUAAUAGGGAAAUCUUACACAAAGUAAAUUAGUGAAGUGAAAAAACUAACUAUAUUCCUCCAACAAAGCUUUGUGAUAAUCAAAUAGAUUUCAACAGUAGUCAACAAAACAAAACAAGACAAAAACCAAGUACAACAAAACUAAACUAAAAAUGAAAUUAGUACAAGACAUUGGUGAUUUUAGCCAUAACAAAUUUGUAGAUAAUUUUCAAAUAAGGAUAACACUGAAAAGACGUUAAAUUAAACAGAAGUUGAUAAAGAUAAAAUAUAUGAUAUGCCCAACUUUGUUACUUUACAUGAAAAAAUGACUUUUAUAACAUUUUAUUUUUGAAAGUUACAGAGUCCCCAAGAAAUUCUUUAAAAUUGUGCUUUUCAAUAUCAAAUUAACAUAAAGCUUUUUUGGUUUUUGGUUUUUUUUUUUUUUUUUUUUUUUUUAGGUCAAGCUUUGUAUCUAAGAUGGUAAAGCACAAGAAACCAUAUGAUCAUAUUAAAAAUGAAUAUUCAAUCUAAUAUUUUCUAUUACCAAUUUAAUUUGGUUUAGAAACCUGUUACCUGUGAACAUGUCCAAUACUAAAUGGUAUUUGUUACAAAAACUUCCAAUGUUGCAACAUGAUUUAUUACAUUCUUGCUUGUUUGUGUACUAUAAGCUCUUAUGAUAUUAGCCACAAUCUAAUACUAUUUCAUUUAAAAAUUUCAAGAGAAUACUGAAGAAUAAAACUGUAAAAAAUGUUAGUUAUUACUGCAUAUAACUAUAAAAACACACCCUAUUUCUCUGGUCUAUAGUAAACAAAUUAGUUUCCUCAUCCAAAGAGCAGCAAAGUCACUUUCCUUCAGGUUCAACAAAGCCAUAGGACUAACCGUUUUUGCUGGAGCUGCAAGAUUUUCCAUUUCUUCAUGAGUCACCCAAACGUUGCCUGAAGGCUAGUGAGGAGGCCCAGAGGGAAGCAGAGGAAUCCAUGGGAGGCAAGCAGUGGUAAAGAAGAAAGGCAGCACCUCUGUGAGUUAACAGCAACACAGCAAUACCACAGUGCCCGUGCCCCUACCGUGUGCACAAGAGAGACAGCAUGGCUGGUUUGCUCAGAGCUCCCUGUUUCUUCUACUCAAAAAGAUUAACUAGAAAGAGGCAUGUUGGGAAGCUCUUGAGGGGUAGAUUUAAAAUGACAUUUCUGCAAUUAUGAAUCAGAAAAUAAGCAUCAUCAAAAUUUGCAUUCCAAUGGUAUGUGGCUAUCAGAUCAAUUUUUUUAAUAGUGGUGAACUGAUUAAAUUUGAACUGUAGAAUAAUGAAUUUUUAAUCAGAAAACAAUGGCACAUGCAUGUGUUGUGUUAUUACCAAAAUUUCCUUUCACAUAAUUUUGAUUCCCAAUAUCCUUUGAAGGAAAAAAUUGGUUGUCAAUAUAAAGCUGGAAGCAUUAUCAUAACUAAUCUGGAAACCAGCAUCAGCUUUUUCCAAAUGAUUAUUUUUUUGUGUGUGAUUCAAUAAAUAUUAAGUGUUCCUGGAUUCUUGCAGAUGAAAAAGAAAUGAAAUGCUAUUUUUAAUUUAUUUUUCAGCCACACUAAUAAUUGUCAAAUUACAAAAUCCAUAUAUUUCCUAAUUCUUCACCAGUAUUUGAUACCAUUAUAGAGAAGAAUACAGUGUAAAAGAAAAUUCUUUCUUUAACAGGCAAUAUUCUAUUGUAAAGUCCCAUUUGCUUUGUAAAAAAACCCCUUGGUAUUAGUUCUAUACACUUAAUAACGUACAGUUUCAAAACCAAAGUCCACUGAGUAACAUAAAGAUCAGGCAUAUCAUUCAAGGUAUUGGGCCCCUGGAAACCACUUGCCAUCAAAUUCCAUCACUUCUUUAUGAACAUUGCAAGGUUUUCCAAGCACAUCAAUGAAAUUUACAUCCUAUGUAUUUUUUGCUACUUGUUCUGGGAAGGGUCCAAUUUCUAAAGAAUUGGUGUAGCAAAGUUGUUACCCAAACAUUGUUAAGUCAUCGCCAUAAUUCACUUUGGGCUUUUCUGCGAUUUAUCUAGUACCAUGACUUUUUCUGUAUUAAAAAUAAUAUAAUUCAAUAUAAUUUAAAGUGUAACUACAUAUAAAUUGAUGAGUAUAAUUUGUUGUAAGUGAAAUUUUAUAUAUGUAUAUAGGUGCAUACAUACAGUCAUGUAAUACAUACUGAUGUUUUAGUCAGGAAUGGAGUACAUUCCCAACAAUGGUGUCAUAUGAUUAUAAUAGAGCUGAAAAGUUCCUGUCACCUAGUGCUGUCAUAGUCAUUAUGCCAUUGUAUUGCAAUGCAUUACUCACAUGUUUGUGGUAACACUAGUGUAAACAAACCUAUUGCACUGCUAGUCAUAUAAAAGUAUAGCACACGCAACUAUGUGCAGCCCAUAAUAGUUGAUAAUGAUAAUUAAUGACUAGGUUACUGGUUUAUGUUUUACCACACCAUACUUUUUCAAUGAUUAUUUUACAGUGUACUCCCUCUACUUUUGUUUUUUAAAGAGUUAACUGUAAAGUAGCCCCAAGUAAGUUCUUCAGGAGGUAUCUCAAAAGAAGGCAUUGAUAUCCUAGGAGAUGACAGCUCCACAUGUGUUACUGCUCAGUGGAACAAGAUAUGGAGAUGAAAGACAGUGAUACUGAUGGUACCAACCCUGGGUAGACCUAUAGUAAUUUGUGUGUUCGUGUCUUAGUUUUUAACGAAAAAAUUUAAAGAGGGAAAUAAUGAAAUAGCAGAAAGCUUAUAGGACAAGGAUAUAAAGAAAUUAAUUUUGUUCAGCUGUACAUUGUGUUGGUGUUUUAAGCUAAGUAUUAUUUAAAAAGAGUCAAAACUUAACAAAAAAGGUUUAUAAAGUGUAAACAUUACCAUAAGCUAAGGCUAAUUUAUUAUUGAAGAAAUAAAAAGAUUUUUUAAUGACGUGUGUAGCAUAAAAGUAUAGUGUUUAUAAAAUCUACAGUAGUAUAUAGUAGUGUCCUAGGCCUUCAUAUUCGUCACUGCUCAUUCACUGACUCGUUCAGAGCAACUUCUAGUCCUGCAAGCUUCAUUACUGGUAAGUGUUCUAUUCAUGUGUACCAUUUUUAUCUUUUAUAUUAUAUUUUUACUGUACAUUUUCUAUGUUUAGAUAUAUUUGGAUACACACAUAUUUACCACGAUGUUACAACUGCCUACAGUAUUCAGCUUGGUAUCAUGCUGUACAGGUUUGUAGCCUGGAGCAAUAAAUUAUACCACAUAGCCUAGGUGUGCAGUAGUCUAUACCAUUUAGGUUUAUGUAAAUAUGCUCCAUGAUAUUCUCAGAAUAACAAAGUUGUCUCAUGACUCAUUUCUUAGAACAUAUAUCUGGCAUUAAGUGACAUAUGAUUGUAUAUAUACUUCAGUAACAAGUGAAAUUGGGUGGUAAAGAUUCAUAAUUAAAAGCAAAUUCUAUGCACAUAAAAAUUCCAUAGGCUAGGCAUCAAAUAUAUAUGUAGAAUUAUUUUUCUUCUACUGUUUUGAAAUUUAGAGUCUAGCUGAUGUAUUUUUCUAUAAGUCUGUGUAUACCUAUGAAAUAAAUUUACAAUACAAAAGUCAUUUAUGUCAUUAAAAGUCCCUUUCUUGUAUCCUCAGCUUCUAACAAUGAUGCUCAUUAUAAACAAAGUUUCAUAUGAAUAUAUAAAACAUUACAUUACUUGGAAUAAAUUGUUUUUACUGACUUUAUGAGAGUGUGCUAGGCUGAAAAGCACUUUACACUCAUCUGUCACAUUUCCUUUACACCCAGUUAUCAUGGAGCUUUGCUUGAAUGGCUGUACUGUUUGUUCAAUGUGAGUUUCAGUGAUGAUUACCUGAGAGAAAAUUCAUUUAAGCCAAUCUUAAAUGGCUUAAGCUUGCAGAACAGUGUAAAAUCAAUUUUACACUGAUUUGUGUAGCUUCUCCUUUGAUUCAUAAUCCAAACAAUGAAGAUCUCACUCCUACUUUAAGAAACUACCUGUAUAUUAAUUAUCUAACACUAGAAUAGAUACAUGCAUAAUAUCUUUCACAGCUUAUCUUAAGGUUGUGUCUGCCAGUCUAUCACCAUAUUCUGGGAUGGGGGAAGAUGCUGGAAGCUGGUUUUAUCUGUUUCUUUCCUCACAAAAUGAGUAUAUACCCAGGGCAAAUUUUUAAAGUGUGGUUGGCAAAUUUACAGAAGUUGUAUGUUGUUUCUGUUUGAUAUGUAGUUUUACUUGUGAAGAGCACUGCCUGCCCUAUAGUCUUGUAAAACAGCCAACAGAAAUAGUUUCUACAAAACCCAAUCAAGUAGACAUUAACUGAAGUUCUAACAAGUUUAUUUUAUAAGCAAGUUCAUACGUAGUAAGUCAAUUAUUCAAUCAGAUUGCUCUCUCUCCACCACCACUUAAGGGGAUGGAAUUUGCAUGUAAGUACAUCAUGAGGGAAUAAUUUAGAGCAUGAGUUUCAGAGAAGAACAUCCCUAUGAGAGAGGUAGACUGGGAAGCUUUGAGCAACCAAAGGGCCUAAGGAUACAAGUGCUUUGGUAUUGAGGAUAAGGAGAGUACAAAAAGUAGGUUGGAAAAGUAUAAAAAACAAACAUCGUAUAACUUGGUUGUGGUCCUCUGAGAUCCCCUUAAAAUUACCUACUCACUGCUCUCAGUAGUCUGUGCUGCAACCUCCCAAAAAUGUGUGAGCUAAACAAUGCAAACCAAUAGUCAUUUUUUUGUGGCUAAUAUCAUCUGAGUCUAACAUGUAAUUUAUAAAAUUUUAAUUAUAUUAUCAAAUUAGAUACAAGGGGCUUGAGCUAUACAGCAGCACUUAUCAGUGACCAUCCUAGGACAUUUCCUAAACCUGUCUAAAUUUCAGGUUCUGCAUCUCUUAAGUGGGACUAAAAGUGCAUGCUCCAGAUUAGAAAGAAACACUACAAAGUUUAUAUUAUAAUACAAUAUGUUCUUAUACAGAACUGGGACUAGGAUGAGGCACAUGAGGUCCCAGGGGACUAUAAUGUAAGGAAGCAAUCACUUUCAGGGUUGAUAUCUGACAAUGAGAGCCUCUUUAAAUUUUUUUGCUUGAAAUGUCUUGCUUGUCUCCCCUUAGUCCACAUGUAAUAGAAUGUUGAGAAAGUAUCAUCAUCGAGUGAGAACUAGAAGGAAAUCUCUACAGGAUGAUAAGAAUUAAACACUUACCCAAUUAAAUCAUUCUGGAAAGAGUUACAACAGGAAAGUAAAUAAUAAAACGAACUUAAGAAAUAAUUCAUGAAAAUUAAUCAGGUGAAAAUAAUAAAUACUUUUGCUGUCAGAGAUACAGAAUAAGCAGCCAGAUCUCAGAAUAAUCUUAAAUCUUAUCUGGUUAAAGUAAGUUUUGUUACUACCUAUCUCAUUUAAAGUGUUUUUUACUUUGUAAUGGAAUUACAAAGUAGUAACUUGAAAUUACUGUUUACAUUCAAAUGGCCUGUAUCCACAUUUCUCCCCUAUCUGAAUUUUUGUCUCUCAUUAUUAGAUAAAUCCUUCUCAUUAUAAUAAGAAUGGUAUUUAUACCUCACCCUCUUUCCAAAAAGGUUGAGGUUUAUAAAGAAAAUUAUACCUCACUCUUUUUUCAAUGAAGGUUGAGGCUUAUGAGGAAUCAAAAGAAGAACCAAACAGACUAAAAGAAUGCUAUAAAAAGAAAAACUGAUAGAAUGCAGGAAGCAGAAGCAGGAAAAUGUACUUUUUAGCAGCAGCAAAUCCACAUAGGAGUAUGAUCUUAGAUGAGUCAGUUUACUUCUUUAUAUCAGUUUUGCCCAUUUGUGAAACAGCUGUAAUAAAAGUACCUUUCUCAUAGUGUGGUUGUGAGUCUUAAAUGGGUUAUUACAUGUAAAGCACUUAGAACAGGGCCUGACAGUGAGCAUUCUGCUGAUGUUGGCUACUACUGUAUUUAUAUUAGAAUUCUGUUAGGCAAUCUCCAUUCAAGCAAAUCUUUAAUUCAAGAAAUAUUCUGUACUUCUCCAUAUUACACUGCGCUAAUGAAUGCCUAUCUUCUGCCUUACAUUUAUGCUCAAUCUUGUUAAAUUAUAUGGUUAUUAAAAAAUCACUGUUUAAAACUUAUUUAUUUCCCCUGUAUUUGCUUUUAAAAUGUUUGACUCAUCAAUUUAAGUAAAUGUUACAUAAAGCAAAAUAUAAAACAAAUUUGGCUCAUAUAUAAACACUAAGUCAAAUUAGUUGGAAAAACAAGAGGUAGGCAAAUGUUGAAACACACUAUUAAUAAAACACAACUUUGUCAAAGUAUGGGGAAGAAAUUGUAAAUGUCCAGAAGGAUUCCUCAUUCAAAUGGCUUUUUGAGUUAGCUUGAAGUCAUCACUUUAAAAAGAAACAACAGCUAGAGAAAUUAAACAUGUUUCCAGUAAGAUUAUCCAAAAGGAUAUUGUAGAACUCAAGACAUUGGAAACAUGCACACAAAAAAAAUGUUCUAGAUGCUCCAUCUAAAUUUGCAAUGCUUGAGCAUUUCUAUAAUUUUUACCUAAGAUAAAAUAUUCAAAGAAUAUAUGUAUUUUUAUGAUAACCUUCUUCAACCGAAUUUCAAUUAACUGAUAUCUCCAUCUCUAACCUACUAGGAAAGAGACUUUCUAUAUUAAUAGUAGCUUGGGGAAAAGAAAUGGAAAGCUAGAAAUUUAGGGCUGAUCCAAGGUAAUCAUACAAGUGACAUUUAGAUUUUUCCUUUUUGGUGGUCCUUCCCAUUAUAUCUAGGCAGGAAAUGAGGCAGAAUCAAAUAGAAAUGGUAGUCAGUUAAAAAAAAAAAAAAGCCCAAGAACCUUAUCUUUUUCUCCUCAGAAUUUCAGUUAAUAAACACGAUACACUGGU
This is a long non-coding RNA of Sapajus apella (tufted capuchin), 8500 nucleotides long. RefSeq lists it as uncharacterized. NCBI's taxonomy places the organism in Eukaryota, Metazoa, Chordata, Mammalia, Primates, Cebidae. The transcript is spliced from 2 exons. The record is from RefSeq and is a predicted model, not a curated record.